GACGAACGCUGGCGGCGUGCUUAACACAUGCAAGUCGAACGGAAAGGCCCUGCUUUUGUGGGGUGCUCGAGUGGCGAACGGGUGAGUAACACGCGAGUAACCUGCCCUCGACUUUGGGAUAACUUCAGGAAACUGGGGCUAAUACCGGAUAGGAGCUCCUGCUGCAUGGUGGGGGUUGGAAAGUUUCGGCGGUUGGGGAUGGACUCGCGGCUUAUCAGCUUGUUGGUGGGGUAGUGGCUUACCAAGGCUUUGACGGGUAGCCGGCCUGAGAGGGUUACCGGCCACAUUGGGACUGAGAUACGGCCCAGACUCCUACGGGAGGCAGCAGUGGGGAAUAUUGCACAAUGGGCGGAAGCCUGAUGCAGCAACGCCGCGUGCGGGAUGACGGCCUUCGGGUUGUAAACCGCUUUCGCCUGUGACGAAGCGUGAGUGACGGUAAUGGGUAAAGAAGCACCGGCUAACUACGUG
This 468-nucleotide ribosomal RNA is filed under the name uncultured bacterium. RNAcentral describes it as "partial 16S ribosomal RNA". It matches the Rfam family "Bacterial small subunit ribosomal RNA", at positions 28 to 507 of the family's 1533-position model. The record is from RNAcentral.